Molecule: transfer RNA, 64 nt
Filed under: Prochlorococcus marinus
Lineage: Bacteria; Bacillati; Cyanobacteriota; Cyanophyceae; Synechococcales; Prochlorococcaceae
Also listed under: 1 other name
Rfam family: tRNA
About the family: Transfer RNA (tRNA) molecules are approximately 80 nucleotides in length. Their secondary structure includes four short double-helical elements and three loops (D, anti-codon, and T loops). Further hydrogen bonds mediate the characteristic L-shaped molecular structure. tRNAs have two regions of fundamental functional importance: the anti-codon, which is responsible for specific mRNA codon recognition, and the 3' end, to which the tRNAs corresponding amino acid is attached (by aminoacyl-tRNA synthetases). tRNAs cope with the degeneracy of the genetic code in two manners: having more than one tRNA (with a specific anti-codon) for a particular amino acid; and 'wobble' base-pairing, i.e. permitting non-standard base-pairing at the 3rd anti-codon position.
Source: RNAcentral
GAUUAGCUCAGCGGUAGAGCGCCUGCCUUACAAGCAGGAUGUCGCUGGUUCGAUCCCAGCAUCG